This is a long non-coding RNA of Ruditapes philippinarum (Manila clam), 666 nucleotides long. RefSeq lists it as uncharacterized. The record is from RefSeq and is a predicted model, not a curated record. Lineage: Eukaryota; Metazoa; Mollusca; Bivalvia; Venerida; Veneridae. The transcript is spliced from 3 exons.
GUUUUUAUCUAUAUGUACUAGAAAGAUAAAAACAAAGUUAUGAUAUCAUUAUUACGCUUAACUUGAACUGUUGUACAUAUAUACGUUUAAAUAAAGUUCAUUCAUUAAAGUAACGGAUUUAAAUACAUACGAGUCACCAUGGAGACUGAACUACGUGACCAUUCUACAGUAUCUUAUGACGUCAGUCCGACGCCUGUAAACACGCGCAUGCAAACAGUUCUUGGAAUACGAGGAUUUGAAGACCCCGACGCACCAUUGACAACAAAGGACAAAUUUAACAUUGGUCUUCUGUUAGUUUUUUUGUACGGGGCUUUCAUAGUAGGAGCUGUUCUUACCGCUGUUUAUAACAGCUAACUAAUGGCUGUAAAUGCAUUGUACCUUAGUAUAAUUAUUGUUUAAGAAAUCAACAGUUUUGAUUUACUAUGCAAUUUGAAUGUUGUGGAAACUGAUUAUCAUUAAAAAUUACUUGAUUGUCCGUAUUACUUUGAUCUAAAAAAAGAAUAUGUACCGAGAUAUAAUUGUUCCUGGAAAAAUAUACAAAAGUUUAAGAUGUUAGUAAAUCACUCGCAAAAGAAUGAUAAUACUUAUACAAAUUUGUCUAAAUAUAUUUACUAUACAAAACAAUAGAAGAGACAAACUGGUAGCUGAUUUCAAUUAAUUUCAGAG